This 973-nucleotide long non-coding RNA is filed under the name Crocodylus porosus (Australian saltwater crocodile). RNAcentral describes it as "lncRNA (ENSCPRG00005016889.1)". Lineage: Eukaryota; Metazoa; Chordata; Crocodylia; Crocodylidae. The record is from RNAcentral.
CAUUUAUAUAGACAGCUAGAUGGGUCAGAGGCAAAGCAGGCUUACCCAAAUGUACUUUCAAUUCCUUUUCCAAUUGAGACUGCUCCCUUCCUGGGCUAAGCCCACAGUGAAAGCUCAUUGGUCGGAGGCACUUCAACUUCCUACACAAACAUAAACACCUCUGCUGUGUUGCUAAGUUGAAAGAAGCAGCUUGUUGACAUGACGUAUGCUAAAGUUUGGAUCCAGAACUAAGAGACAGUAUUUUAGCUGCUGGUAUGUGGUGCUGACGCUGUGCUGCAUGAAGAGGUUUUCUUUUAUAAAUGUUGGACUUGUGCCCAGACUGCUAUAGUAGAAUCUGGAAGAAAACACAAUAAGGAGAACGUCAGAUCAAUUUGCAGGAACAUAUAUGUGGGGGAAAAAAAGGCUUUAAACAUAAAAGGCAUUUUUCAAACAGUGAGAGACCCAGACAAUGGACAGUAACUAUGAAUUUUUUAAAACCUAUCCUGAAUCAACCCCUAUUAUCAAUACAGAGUCAAAAGAAUGUUUUAUCUGUCGAGAAGGAGAGGAGAUGGGUCAUGAUGCUCUGCUUCACUUCUGUGACUGCAAAAACUUGAUUGCUCACCAGCAGUGUAUGUUAACCUGGAUACAGAAGGGUUUUUAUACAGAAGAUCAUCCAAGAUGCAAAGUUUGUACAGCUGAGUACCAGCUACAGAAAGGAUCCAUCUGGAGAUUCCUGUUUUGUCAGUGGCAGAAUUGGAUCUUCUUCUUCAUAGCCCUGGCAGUAAUGGCUAUCAUUCCACUUGCAGUCUAUCAAAUGAUGGUGGCUUUUAAGAACCCUCCACCUAGCACUGUGUUCCAUGCAGCAGCUAUCUGCUUUGGAGUGCUUACAGAGACUCUACUGAUCAAAUACCUGAUGUAUUAUUGCCGCAACAAAUACAACAAGGCCAAGAUGUCUUCAUUUUCCAUCAGAGCAAGGACUGUAAGAGCAAUAUGA